GCUGGGCAUGGUGGCUCAUGCCUGUAAUCCGAGCUACUUGAGAGGCUGAGGCAGGAGAAUCGCUUGAACCCAGGAGACAGAAGUUGCAGUGAGCUGAGAUCACACCACUGCACUCCAGCCUGGGUGACAGAGUGAGACUCUGUCUCAA
Molecule: non-coding RNA, 148 nt
Filed under: Pan troglodytes (chimpanzee)
Lineage: Eukaryota; Metazoa; Chordata; Mammalia; Primates; Hominidae
Source: Rfam by way of RNAcentral